GCCUCCGUAGCUCAGCGGACAGAGCACCGGCUUUCUCUACUCCGGGUGGCGCUGGUUCGAUUCCGGCCGGAGGCA
This 75-nucleotide transfer RNA is filed under the name Mycolicibacterium sp. CBMA 294. RNAcentral's name for it is "tRNA-Arg". It matches the Rfam family "tRNA". Rfam says of the family: Transfer RNA (tRNA) molecules are approximately 80 nucleotides in length. Their secondary structure includes four short double-helical elements and three loops (D, anti-codon, and T loops). Further hydrogen bonds mediate the characteristic L-shaped molecular structure. tRNAs have two regions of fundamental functional importance: the anti-codon, which is responsible for specific mRNA codon recognition, and the 3' end, to which the tRNAs corresponding amino acid is attached (by aminoacyl-tRNA synthetases). tRNAs cope with the degeneracy of the genetic code in two manners: having more than one tRNA (with a specific anti-codon) for a particular amino acid; and 'wobble' base-pairing, i.e. permitting non-standard base-pairing at the 3rd anti-codon position. RNAcentral also lists the same sequence under 5 other names. The record is from RNAcentral. Lineage: Bacteria; Bacillati; Actinomycetota; Actinomycetes; Mycobacteriales; Mycobacteriaceae.